Molecule: ribosomal RNA, 263 nt
Filed under: uncultured bacterium
Lineage: Bacteria
Description: partial 16S ribosomal RNA
Rfam family: Bacterial small subunit ribosomal RNA
Source: RNAcentral
UACGUAGGGUGCGAGCGUUGUCCGGAAUUACUGGGCGUAAAGAGCUCGUAGGUGGUUUGUCGCGUCGUCUGUGAAAUUCCGGGGCUUAACUCCGGGCGUGCAGGCGAUACGGGCAUAACUUGAGUACUGUAGGGGAGACUGGAAUUCCUGGUGUAGCGGUGAAAUGCGCAGAUAUCAGGAGGAACACCGGUGGCGAAGGCGGGUCUCUGGGCAGUAACUGACGCUGAGGAGCGAAAGCAUGGGUAGCGAACAGGAUUAGAUAC